CCCCGCGGAAGGCGGCUCGCCCUCCCCGCCGCGGCGCAGCCCGGCGCCUCGCCGCCCCCCUCGCGGGGCCGUUCCGCCGCCUGCAGGUGUGUUUCCCCGCGGCUUUUUUCGUUUCGGGCUUUAUUUUUCUUUAUUUUUUUUAAUAAAACUUUUAAUUAACGUUUUUUUUGCCGGCCCCGGGCCGGUUUUCGCCUCCGGCCUGCACGCCCCGGCGGCGAGCGCCGAGUUUGGGAUUCGGACUUCCAGAUCUGUCCUGUGUUGUUUAAAACUGGAUGAGAUGACAAUGCAAAAAAUGGAAGUAACAAGAAGCAUCAUACUUUUCUUCUGUUCAGCAGUGUUGAGAAAAAACUGUGGAUCCUGGAAUUUUACUGUGGAUUUUACUGGUUUUCUGGAGUACUUUCCUGUUGAAACAGAAAUUGCCCUGUGUCAAGCGAGAAUCACUUGCCAGGAGGACCUGAUGCGUCUUUGCGCUCAGUCAAAGGUGAGUUGGGAAGGUGAGUUUACGUGCCUGCCCACUUGGAACUGCUUGUAGUAUCCCCAUUCCCGGCACUCUGGAUAAAUGGAAAGCCCUCAGAAGUGCGUAUUCUCUUUGGGUGCUGCAGUUAACACCCAGAGGAGGCAGAGAGAAAACUCUUAGAUCAUACUUUUCAGUUACCAUCGCUCUGAUUUUAAUACUGAGGAUCCAAAACGCAAACAAAGUUUGAAAAAAUCCUGAAAGAAACUGAAGUGUGAAGUAGAAUGCUUCAAACACGUAGCUUUGUAUUGUUUAAAAUAGUUACUCUCUUAGCAUAAAUUCACGUAUUUUCUCAGAUCUAUAUUUUACUGCCUAUCCCAAAUUGCCCAUUGCUCAAUAUUCAGUGUGAGUGUUGGUCUUCUCUGUGUCGGAAAAAAGGUUGGUGAAUGUGUAUUGAACCCUCACUUUGGAAAGUCACGCUUGCUUAGGAGAGAGCUCUUUGCCCCCCUUGUCGAACKAGGUGAAAGACUGAUUGUAUAUAAACAUUCAUUAAAACAUGAACCUCAAACACAAUCAGAAUGGAUUAUAGAACUAAGCUUGUUUGCUGUUGCCUUUUUUCUUUUUUUAAGUCACUUUAAGAGAUGAAAGAAAUAAGACUACACAGGUACAGUCAAGUAGAACAUUGUUACAGAAACAAAAUGAAGGGUAAAAUUAUGUGGAGGCUUAUUUUGUUUUAGCUUAUCCAGGUUUAACUUUCUCUUUGUACUUGUUUGUUUCUUUGCAGUAAGUAGCAAUUGCUCUUUAGAGAGCUGGAACUGGUGCUAUCAGUAUUGAGGACACUGAAGUGGAGAAAAAAUAGUGCUUUUUUUAGUUGGCAAAUAUUUAAUUUAAAAACUUGCAAUAAUCUGGCACAGGUCAUAAGAGCUUUCGAAAUUCCUAUUUUUAAGUUUGCUAAAAGGCAGAGACUAGGAGGUGGACAAACUGAAACUCGGAUAACCAGUGUGUUCAGAGACAGCACAAACAUUUGAACCCAAUAGCACCAUUUCUGACAUUGUUCAGUUUUUUGUGAUGCUGCUUU
RNAcentral lists this long non-coding RNA (1532 nucleotides) under Dromaius novaehollandiae (emu). RNAcentral's name for it is "lncRNA (ENSDNVG00000017143.1)". Lineage: Eukaryota; Metazoa; Chordata; Aves; Casuariiformes; Dromaiidae. The record is from RNAcentral.